GACGAACGCUGGCGGCGUGCUUAACACAUGCAAGUCGAACGGAAAGGCCCUGCUUUUGUGGGGUGCUCGAGUGGCGAACGGGUGAGUAACACGUGAGUAACCUGCCCUUGACUUUGGGAUAACUUCAGGAAACUGGGGCUAAUACCGGAUAGGAGCUCCUGCUGCAUGGUGGGGGUUGGAAAGUUUCGGCGGUUGGGGAUGGACUCGGGGCUUAUCAGCUUGUUGGUGGGGUAGUGGCUUACCAAGGCUUUGACGGGUAGCCGGCCUGAGAGGGUGACCGGCCACAUUGGGACUGAGAUACGGCCCAGACGCCUACGGGAGGCAGCAGUGGGGAAUAUUGCACAAUGGGCGGAAGCCUGAUGCAGCAACGCCGCGUGCGGGAUGACGGCCUUCGGGUGGGAAACCGCUUUCGCCUGUGACGAAGCGUGAGUGACGGUAAUGGGGAAAGAAGCACCGGCUAACUACGU
Molecule: ribosomal RNA, 467 nt
Filed under: uncultured bacterium
Lineage: Bacteria
Description: partial 16S ribosomal RNA
Rfam family: Bacterial small subunit ribosomal RNA
Source: RNAcentral